The submitters of this non-coding RNA (130 nucleotides) gave its source as unclassified sequences. The record is from Rfam.
UUCCUCGCUUUUGAAACUUAGAACUUUAUAACUAAUAUUUAAUACAAUUAAAAUUUUUGGUCGAAAAUGUUCGUUCCUUUUAAGGAGUUUUAGAUGCGAUGUUUUUCUUGCAGUAAUGCAAGAAGAGGAG